GAUCCUGGCUCAGGAUGAACGCUGGCGGCGUGCUUAACACAUGCAAGUCGAACGAAGCAAUUUGGCAGAAGUUUUCGGAUGGAAGCUGGAUUGACUGAGUGGCGGACGGGUGAGUAACGCGUGGGUAACCUGCCUUAUACAGGGGGAUAACAGUCAGAAAUGACUGCUAAUACCGCAUAAGCGCACGGAACCGCAUGGUUCAGUGUGAAAAACUCCGGUGGUAUAAGAUGGACCCGCGUUGGA
Molecule: ribosomal RNA, 243 nt
Filed under: uncultured bacterium
Lineage: Bacteria
Description: partial 16S ribosomal RNA
Rfam family: Bacterial small subunit ribosomal RNA
Source: RNAcentral